Molecule: ribosomal RNA, 253 nt
Filed under: uncultured bacterium
Lineage: Bacteria
Description: partial 16S ribosomal RNA
Rfam family: Bacterial small subunit ribosomal RNA
Source: RNAcentral
UACGUAGGGUGCAAGCGUUUGUCCGGAAUUAUUAGGCGUAAAGAGCUCGUAGGCGGUUUGUUGCGUCGGCUGUGAAAUCCCGAGGCUCAACCUCGGGUCUGCAGUCGAUACGAGCAACUAGAGUGUUGCAGGGGAGACUGGAAUUCCUGGUGUAGCGGUGAAAUGCGCAGAUAUCAGGAGGAACACCGGUGGCGAAGGCGGGUCUCUGGGCAACAACUGACGCUGAGGAGCGAAAGCGUGGGGAGCGAACAGG